CAAAGUACCCCUCAUAAUUUUGGUUUCCCCCUAAGUCCGCAUUUCCACCUUCAUUUUCGGACGUGCAUUUGGGUGUGCAUUCUCUCUCUACCCUGCACUGCACAUAGUAGUUGACCAGACAGGAGUCCAAGACUCACUGCUUUACCGACGAAAAUAAGGUCUUUAUCGGACACAGAUCCAUGUUUUUGGUGGAGGCGACGGAGUCGGACGAAGUCAGGAUCUUGGAAACACAGUUUCUGUGAAAGGUUGAGCGGGAUGUUGCGGUGGAUGUUGAGUCGGCAUAGGGA
This is a long non-coding RNA of Salvia splendens (bonfire salvia), 287 nucleotides long. RefSeq lists it as uncharacterized. Lineage: Eukaryota; Viridiplantae; Streptophyta; Magnoliopsida; Lamiales; Lamiaceae. The transcript is spliced from 3 exons. The record is from RefSeq and is a predicted model, not a curated record.